CAUCAGGAUUACUGUGGAUGGCAAGGGGUUUGUGGGGUUUUUAUGCACGAAUGGAGACCGACCGCAAGGCCAAAACUUAUGGAACUCUUUUCGGCUGAAAAACCUGUGCGGUCGGUCAAAACUUCAAAGACCCAUAACUCCCGAACCCCUCAACCGAAUGACUUGAAAUUUGGAUAUGUUGUUCCCCUGAGUGAGAGCUAUUAAGCGGAC
This is a non-coding RNA of Pelobates cultripes (western spadefoot toad), 210 nucleotides long. The record is from the annotation of a GenBank genome assembly. NCBI's taxonomy places the organism in Eukaryota, Metazoa, Chordata, Amphibia, Anura, Pelobatidae.